This 491-nucleotide ribosomal RNA is filed under the name uncultured bacterium. RNAcentral describes it as "partial 16S ribosomal RNA". It matches the Rfam family "Bacterial small subunit ribosomal RNA", at positions 28 to 507 of the family's 1533-position model. The record is from RNAcentral.
GAUGAACGCUAGCUACAGGCUUAACACAUGCAAGUCGAGGGGAAACGAUGAGAGAGCUUGCUCUCUUAGUCGUCGACCGGCGCACGGGUGAGUAACGCGUAUCCAACCUGCCUCUGACCAAGGGAUAACCCGUCGAAAGUCGGACUAAUACCUUAUGCAGUCGUCGGAAGUCAUCUGAUGACGACGAAAGAUUUCAUCGGUGAGAGAUGGGGAUGCGUCUGAUUAGCUUGUUGGCGGGGUAACGGCCCACCAAGGCGACGAUCAGUAGGGGUUCUGAGAGGAAGGUCCCCCACAUUGGAACUGAGACACGGUCCAAACUCCUACGGGAGGCAGCAGUGAGGAAUAGUGGUCAAUGGGCGUAAGCCUGAACCAGCCAAGUAGCGUGCAGGAGGACGGCCCUAUGGGUGGUAAACUGCUUUUAUGCGGGGAUAAAGUGAGGGACGUGUCCUUCAUUGCAGGUACCGCAUGAAUAAGGACCGGCUAAUUCCGUG